GCGGGUGUAGUUCAGUGGCAGAACACCAGCUUCCCAAGCUGGAUAUGAGGGUUCGAUUCCCUUCACCCGCUCCA
This 74-nucleotide transfer RNA is filed under the name Clostridiales bacterium. RNAcentral describes it as "tRNA-Gly". It matches the Rfam family "tRNA". Rfam says of the family: Transfer RNA (tRNA) molecules are approximately 80 nucleotides in length. RNAcentral also lists the same sequence under 1 other name. The record is from RNAcentral. Lineage: Bacteria; Bacillati; Bacillota; Clostridia; Eubacteriales.